ACAGAAGGAAAGUUAAGAAAACUAACUGACUUUGCUGAAUUGUCCUAUUAUUUUUCCCCUAAACACUGCAGGUAUCAGCAGAGACCCUAAUAAACAUAUAUUGACAGAAGAGGUUUCUCUGCUUGUAUAGCUAUACCAUAUUGCCAACCACCAUUUUGGAAAUCAACAAAAAGCUCUCCUAUUGGAAGAGCUGCAUCCACAACAGAUGUUUUGUCCACAGACCUGCAUCAGCAGAAGCACAGGCUUUUCAUAUUUAUAGCCAACACAGCUGUGCCCACAAAACUGUCAUGAAAACCUGCACUCCGGCUGUGAGACCAAGGUAGGAAGGAAUGCAUCAGAUGGGUUCUCUGUUGGGAAUUUGCUGUUUACUCAUCUUAUUUCAAGCCCUCCCUCACCCACCUUGUAUCUAUACUUGCAGCUCACAGUUAAAUAGUCAUAUCUCUAGGUUGUA
This is a long non-coding RNA of Gavialis gangeticus (Gharial), 451 nucleotides long. RefSeq lists it as uncharacterized. The record is from RefSeq and is a predicted model, not a curated record. The transcript is spliced from 2 exons. NCBI's taxonomy places the organism in Eukaryota, Metazoa, Chordata, Crocodylia, Gavialidae.